Non-coding RNA from Paramuricea clavata, 1946 nucleotides. Lineage: Eukaryota; Metazoa; Cnidaria; Anthozoa; Malacalcyonacea; Plexauridae. The record is from the annotation of a GenBank genome assembly.
CUAGAAUGGGCCCCUAGAUUUCUCCUGUUUUGUUUUGUUUAUUUAAACAUAUUUAUUACAGACAUUUUCUCCAAGAGCAUAGCUCAUCGAGGGAGAUUAUGUCGGAUUAUUUUGAACUUUAGGUUACUCACAUCAAGACAAAGAGGAUUACAUAAAAAAAAAGAUUACAUCAAAACAAAUCGAAUAAUCAUAGUGUGGUAGAACUUCUGGUAUUCAUUCUCAAGCUUUCCAUGAAACAUAUUAUUAUGAGAAAUUUAUAUGGAAGAAUUUACCACACCAAUGUUUUUACAGACCAAUGUUUUACAAAACAAGUUUCAAUAAAAAAAAAAGAAAAAAAAGUUACUCGGCCUGAAACCGUUUUGUAUUUAAAAUAAAUAAUUGGACAUUUUGCAUUAAUUUUACAUUAUCUUCAUGUCCAAGAUUUUCCGACCCAUGCAAAAGUAUUUCAAUUUUCCGAUUCUCUGAUAAAUUCAUCCACAUAGGAUGGAGCAGCCGCGCAGGAAGUGAGAGCAAUUGUUCACGUUGGGCAGCAAAUCGAGAACAAUAUAAAAAGUAAUGUUUGACAGUUUCCAUUUCACCCCAUCGACAUACACAAAAGGGGGAAUUUGCACAAUUAAUUCUAUAUAGGUGAAAAUUAAGCGCACAGUGACCAAGCCUGAGCCUGGUAUGGAGUAUUGAGCUAUAUCUACUUAGUGAUGCAUUGUAUUUUACGUUAUAUUUUUGUCCACAAUAUAUAUUACAUAAGGUAACUUUAAAGGAAGACAGCGUCUCUAUAUUUCGUAAAUCUGGAUCAAGAUCAUUCCAGGCAGUUAUUGCCGAUGGAAAGAAAGAUUUUUUAAAUCGUUCAGUUCUCACAGGUAUAUUAGUUAAAUUAUCGUUAGAUCUUAGAAAGUAACUGGAUCUUUGGUUUACAUAUGAAGGCAAAAGAUCACAAAGGUAGGAUGGUGCAGUGUGGGUAACAAUUUUAUAAAAAAAGGAUAGCUUAUGAAUAUGUCUCCUGGUUUUCAAAUCCUCCCAACAUAGUUCUUCCAAUAGACGAUUUCUAUUUGUUCCCCUUAUUGCACCAGUAACAAUGCGAGCUGAUUCGUAUUGAACUGCUUCUAAAAGAUUUGCUUCCUCUAUACUACAUCCAUCCCAUAUUACAUCUGCAUAUUCCAUUAAGGGUCUAAUCAGACUUUUAUAUAAGCAUAUCAGUGUUGACCUUUUAAGCUUAUAUUUAACCCUUUUUAAUGCGUUCAUUCUUUUACUAGCUUUUUGAUGUAUGCUUAGAAUAUGUUUUGACCAAGAGAAAUUUGACGUAAAUGUUAAACCUAAAUGUGAAUGAGAAUCAACUUCGCGUAAUGCAGUGCCAUUUAAGUAUAAGAUUGGCUGAGGAAGUCGGUUAUGUUUCGUUGAAAAUGUAAUGAUUUCGCACUUAGUAGGAUUCAAUCCCAUCAACCAUUCCAUACACCAUUGGUUAAUGCUAUUGAGAUCCUCGUUUAGUCUAGAAUCAAAGGAUGAUAAAUUAUCAACAAUUUCAAGUAAAGAUGUGUCAUCAGCGUAGAGAAAACAGUCAGAUACAAUAUUGUUGGAAAUAUCAUUUACGUAUAUUAGAAAAAGCAAUGGCCCGAGCACUGAACCUUGUGGAACACCAGCUUCAACACUCAGCCAGCUCGAGCAUUGCCCCUCAAUGACAACUCUUUGUUUUCUAUCAGACAAAUAACUACAAAACCAGCUUAAAAGUGGGUCUUUUACUCCAAGAGAUUUUAAUUUGUACAAUAAACCCUUAUGCCAUACUUUAUCAAACGCUUUGCUAAAAUCUAAAAACACCACCUUGGCUAAUACAUGAAGUUUCUAGUGAGGGAAAAGUGAGCGCGCGAGGACCCACCAUCAAAUUUUUAUCGAAUUUCUAAAGCUUUUUCAUGUGACGUCUAAUGUUACGCUUACAGUUGUUUUGGACUUUGGCC